RNAcentral lists this ribosomal RNA (468 nucleotides) under uncultured bacterium. RNAcentral's name for it is "partial 16S ribosomal RNA". It matches the Rfam family "Bacterial small subunit ribosomal RNA", at positions 28 to 507 of the family's 1533-position model. The record is from RNAcentral.
GAUGAACGCUGGCGGCGUGCUUAACACAUGCAAGUCGAACGGAAAGGCCCAAGCUUGCUUGGGUACUCGAGUGGCGAACGGGUGAGUAACACGUGGGUGAUCUGCCCUGCACUUCGGGAUAAGCCUGGGAAACUGGGUCUAAUACCGGAUAGGACGAUGGUUUGGAUGCCAUUGUGGAAAGUUUUUUCGGUGUGGGAUGAGCUCGCGGCCUAUCAGCUUGUUGGUGGGGUAAUGGCCUACCAAGGCGUCGACGGGUAGCCGGCCUGAGAGGGUGUACGGCCACAUUGGGACUGAGAUACGGCCCAGACUCCUACGGGAGGCAGCAGUGGGGAAUAUUGCACAAUGGGCGGAAGCCUGAUGCAGCGACGCCGCGUGGGGGAUGACGGCCUUCGGGUUGUAAACUCCUUUCGCUAGGGACGAAGCGUUUUUGUGACGGUACCUGGAGAAGAAGCACCGGCUAACUACGUG